AACGAACGCUGGCGGCAUGCCUAACACAUGCAAGUCGAACGAGACCUUCGGGUCUAGUGGCGCACGGGUGCGUAACGCGUGGGAACCUGCCCUUAGGUUCGGAAUAACUCCCCGAAAGGGGUGCUAAUACCGGAUAAUGUCUUCGGACCAAAGAUUUAUCGCCUUUGGAUGGGCCCGCGUUGGAUUAGCUAGUUGGUAGGGUAAAAGCCUACCACGGCGACGAUCCAUAGCUGGUCUGAGAGGAUGAUCAGCCACACUGGGACUGAGACACGGCCCAGACUCCUACGGGAGGCAGCAGUGGGGAAUAUUGGACAAUGGGCGAAAGCCUGAUCCAGCAAUGCCGCGUGAGUGAUGAAGGCCGUAGGGUUGUAAAGCUCUUUUACCCGGGAUGAUAAUGACAGUACCGGGAGAAUAAGCUCCGGCUAACUCCGUG
This 433-nucleotide ribosomal RNA is filed under the name uncultured bacterium. RNAcentral describes it as "partial 16S ribosomal RNA". It matches the Rfam family "Bacterial small subunit ribosomal RNA", at positions 29 to 507 of the family's 1533-position model. The record is from RNAcentral.